GCGCGAAAACUUUACAAUGCUGGCAACAGCGAUAAGGGAACCUCGCGUGCCAGGUUACAAAUCUGGCUGUCGAGAUGCCUAAAAAGCAUUUCAUAGCAAGGGCCGGGCAAGACCGGUGCCAGCCGCCGCGGUAACACCGGCGGCUCGAGUGGUAACCGUUAUUAUUGGGUCUAAAGGGUCUGUAGCCGGCCGGAUAAGUCUCUUGAGAAAUCUGGCAGCUUAACUGUCAGGCUUUCAGGAGAUACUGUCUGGCUCGAGCCCGGGGGAGGGGGGAGGAACUUCAGGGGUAGGGGGGAAAUAUGGUAAUCUUUGAGGAACAACAAGUGCGGAGGGCGCCUCACCGGAACGAACCUGAGGGCAAGGGACAAAGGCUAGGGCACGAACCG
RNAcentral lists this ribosomal RNA (386 nucleotides) under uncultured bacterium. RNAcentral describes it as "bacterial SSU rRNA". It matches the Rfam family "Archaeal small subunit ribosomal RNA", at positions 339 to 726 of the family's 1478-position model. The record is from RNAcentral.